Molecule: non-coding RNA, 73 nt
Organism: Potamilus streckersoni
Lineage: Eukaryota; Metazoa; Mollusca; Bivalvia; Unionida; Unionidae
Source: the annotation of a GenBank genome assembly
GCUCUGAUGGCCUAGUGAUUAGAGCGUCCGCCUCGUAUGCGGGAAUUCGUGGGUUCGAUCCCAGGUUGAUUCA